CCACGUUUCAAGCCUUGCCCCUAGAUGUUACACCCAGAAACCAGAGAAGCUACUAGGUUGGCGUCUUACAUUCCUAAGCUUCUCUGAGCUUUCUUAUCAAUGGUGGAUUCAUCUUCCCCAUUAUUGAAAUCUAUUAUCUCCUGAUUUAAUCAUCUUUCACAUGUUUAACAUCAGGGAAGCCAUUAAUCGUCUACUCUUAAUCAAUUCACUUAAACAACAAUGUAAAUUUGGGUUUUCCAACAUCAACCAAGCAAUCUCUACCUUCAAUCAAAUGACAUCCAUAGAUCCUUUUCUUACUUCCAUGGAUUUCAAUCAAAUCUUUACUGCAAUCUCCAAGAUAAAACCUCAACAAGUACAGCAUUAUUCCAUUAUUAUUACUCUUUCCAGGCAGCUGGAGUUAUCGGGCCUCCGACCCAAUAAGCAUUCUUUGGGCAUCCUCACCAACUGCUAUUGCCAUUUAGGUCGGGUUGAUUUCGCCUUUUCGCUCCUCGGUAAGCGUAUUAAGUUUGGAUUUGAGCCUGAUAUUGUGAUUUAUACUACUUUGAUCAAUGGACUUAUUGAUGCUAAUUAUGUUGAUCAAGCUGCUAAAAUGUUGGAUAAAAUUAUCAAAUUUGGGAUGCAACCUAAUAUUGUCACUUAUGGUGCAAUUGUUAAAGGUCUUUGUAGAACAGGAAAUAAUGUGGGUGCUAUUAAUUUGCUUAGGAAAAUGCAGUCUGAUGAGGUUUGCAAGCCUGAUGCUAUCAUAUAUACUUUGAUCAUUGAUAGUCUUUGUAAAGAGAAUUUGUUAUCUAAAGCACUUGAACUUUUUGAGGAGAUGCAAAGAGAAGGCUUAUCGCCUAAUGUUGUCACAUAUAGUUCUUUAAUUCGAGGAUGUUACAAUGGAGGAAGACGCGAGUGAGAUAUACAAUGAUUUGUUUUCAUGUUAGUUCUAAACCUGGGUUCGCAUAAAAUGAUAAAUGGUGAUGCUUGAGAAUGUCACAAGUUGUUUGAUUCGCUGGAAAUUGUUUUUAUGAUCAAAGGCGUGACGAUUCGUAGCUAAUGAAGGGUGGCUUCAAAGCUGUGAUGCGAUUUGUAAGCAUUGCUUGAUGGAUGUUGUAAGAGUGGAAUCACUUGUAUGGGCUAAAAGCAAUUCGUUUAUGGAACUAUUCUUACAGGCCUUAAUAUCUUAUUGGAUGGCUGUUGUAAGACUUGGUGACUUCAAGAAUCUGAGAAUGUCAAAUGUUCUCACCAAUCUCCCAUUUAAAGAUGCUUCACAUAGAGCAAAUAAAGAUCACGAAGAGGAUGCAAACGAGGAAACGGCACUAAUAUUGGGGCUCUGAUGUUAUUUUUUGUAUCAGCACUGGAAUCUGGAUAUCUAUCAAAACCAAAAAGGUCAACAUAAUAGAGUUAGUACUCUUCUAAAGUUCUAGUUGUAUCCGAGACAACUUGGUUGCUUGCACUUGUUAUUGAAAGCCUCGACUUGUGUUCCCAAGAGUUUCUCAUUUCACUCAAAAUUUUGAGUUUUGUUUUGGGGGGUGGGAGUUGUAAGUUACCCCUUAAUUCAAUAUUUGUGCACUGUAGGAGGUGAAUAGAUGUUGAAAAACAUAAAUCCCGAGGUGGAGACUUACAGGCUCACAUGAUGUUGAUAGAUAUGUAUUGCAAAGGAGUGGCUAGUCAAGCUAGCACUUUGUUUGAAAUUUGAAUCAAUGAUUGGGAAAGGUCACACUCCAAAUAUCAUCUCGUACAAGGCUUAAUGAAUGGUUGUUGAUCAUGUGGUGAAAUGGGCAAUGUGGUAAAGCUAUUGGCUUUGAUGUGAGAAGAUGACUGCAAAUAUCAUGUUAUCACUUUGCACAGCUUAACAAAGGAUAUCACGAGUCUAAAAAUGUUGACGAAGUUCUCCAUCUGCUUUAUCCGAGGCCUCCGAAAGGUUUAAACUCUCAUUCGCUUCCAACAGAUGUAUUCACUUAAAAAUUCAAUAGUAAUUUAUUAACCUACUUUUGGGUUAUGUUCAGUUUUUAGUUCCCAUUUCUUUGUUAGAAAUAUACUUCUAUUCAAUACCUUGGCGUAGUUUGAUUGUAGUCAAAGUAUGUCGAUUGCCAUUGUUUGUUCACUUGGAAAGAUAAUUAUUUUUGUUUAGAUUACUCUAAUUUUAUCA
Molecule: RNA transcript, 2134 nt
Organism: Amaranthus tricolor (Joseph's coat)
Lineage: Eukaryota; Viridiplantae; Streptophyta; Magnoliopsida; Caryophyllales; Amaranthaceae
Exons: 3
Source: RefSeq, a predicted model, not a curated record